This 72-nucleotide transfer RNA is filed under the name Camelus bactrianus (Bactrian camel). It matches the Rfam family "tRNA". From Rfam's summary of the family: Transfer RNA (tRNA) molecules are approximately 80 nucleotides in length. Their secondary structure includes four short double-helical elements and three loops (D, anti-codon, and T loops). Further hydrogen bonds mediate the characteristic L-shaped molecular structure. tRNAs have two regions of fundamental functional importance: the anti-codon, which is responsible for specific mRNA codon recognition, and the 3' end, to which the tRNAs corresponding amino acid is attached (by aminoacyl-tRNA synthetases). tRNAs cope with the degeneracy of the genetic code in two manners: having more than one tRNA (with a specific anti-codon) for a particular amino acid; and 'wobble' base-pairing, i.e. permitting non-standard base-pairing at the 3rd anti-codon position. The record is from Rfam by way of RNAcentral. RNAcentral also lists the same sequence under 2 other names. Lineage: Eukaryota; Metazoa; Chordata; Mammalia; Artiodactyla; Camelidae.
GAGGAUAUAGCUCAGGGGUAGAGUGCAUGCCUAGCAUGCACAAAGUCUUGGGUUCAAUCCCCAGUGCCUCCA